GCCGGAUGCUCCAGUUGAUCGCAUGGUCUUCUGGGAAAGCUUUCGCGGUAUGGGAUGGGGUCGCGUCCUAUCAGCUUGACGGCGGGGUAACGGCCCACCGUGGCUUCGACGGGUAGCCGGCCUGAGAGGGCGACCGGCCACAUUGGGACUGAGAUACGGCCCAGACUCCUACGGGAGGCAGCAGUGGGGAAUAUUGCACAAUGGGCGCAAGCCUGAUGCAGCGACGCCGCGUGAGGGAUGGAGGCCUUCGGGUUGUAAACCUCUUUUAUCGGGGAGCAAGCGAGAGUGAGUUUACCCGUUGAAUAAGCACCGGCUAACUACGUGCCAGCAGCCGCGGUAAUACGUAGGGUGCAAGCGUUAUCCGGAAUUAUUGGGCGUAAAGGGCUCGUAGGCGGUUCGUCGCGUCCGGUGUGAAAGUCCAUCGCUUAACGGUGGAUCCGCGCCGGGUACGGGCGGGCUUGAGUGCGGUAGGGGAGACUGGAAUUCCCGGUGUAACGGUGGAAUGUGUAGAUAUCGAAAAGAGAA
Molecule: ribosomal RNA, 525 nt
Filed under: Bifidobacterium longum subsp. suillum
Lineage: Bacteria; Bacillati; Actinomycetota; Actinomycetes; Bifidobacteriales; Bifidobacteriaceae
Description: bacterial SSU rRNA
Rfam family: Bacterial small subunit ribosomal RNA
Source: RNAcentral